GGAGGAUUACGUCCACUGGUGAUGUUUGUUAGGCAUUUCUUUGCAAUGGAUUGGGACUGUAAAAUCUCUCAUGGGUAUCGCAGGGCUAAUCACUGUGCUGACAUACAUUUGGGAUUUCAUGUGCUUCAGCAACUCUGUCUGGUCUGAUCUCAUGGUUGCUGCAUAAUGUUAGUGGGGUUUCAUAUCCCAGAGAUUGCUUGUAGUUUCUCC
This 210-nucleotide unclassified non-coding RNA is filed under the name Hevea brasiliensis (rubber tree). Lineage: Eukaryota; Viridiplantae; Streptophyta; Magnoliopsida; Malpighiales; Euphorbiaceae. The record is from RNAcentral.